Molecule: non-coding RNA, 123 nt
Organism: Triticum aestivum (bread wheat)
Lineage: Eukaryota; Viridiplantae; Streptophyta; Magnoliopsida; Poales; Poaceae
Source: Rfam
GAAUUAUUCCCUCCGUCCGAAAAUACUUGUCAUUGAAAUGAAUAUAUCUAGAUGUAUUUUAGUUAUAGAUACAUUCAUUUUCAUCAAUUUUGAUGAAGUAAUUCCGGACGGAGGAAGUAUAUG